UUCCAGACUCCUACGGGAGGCAGCAGUGAGGAAUAUUGGUCAAUGGGCGGGAGCCUGAACCAGCCAUGCCGCGUGAAGGCGAGUGCCCUACGGGCGUUAAACUUCUUUUGUGCGGGAGCAAUAAGGGCCACGUGUGGCCCGAUGAGAGUACCGCACGAAUAAGCAUCGGCUAACCCCGUGCCAGCAGCCGCGGUAAUACGGAGGAUGCGAGCGUUAUCCGGAUUUAUUGGGUUUAAAGGGUGCGUAGGCGGGCUUUUAAGUCAGCGGUAAAAAUUCGGGGCUCAACCCCGUCCGGCCGUUGAAACUGGGGGCCUUGAGUGGGCGAGAAGAAGGCGGAAUGCGUGGUGUAGCGGUGAAAUGCAUAGAUAUCACGCAGAACCCCGAUUGCGAAGGCAGCCUUCCGGCGCCCUACUGACGCUGAGGCACGAAAGUGCGGGGAUCGAACAGGAUUAGAUACCCUCGUACAG
This 467-nucleotide ribosomal RNA is filed under the name uncultured bacterium. RNAcentral describes it as "bacterial SSU rRNA". It matches the Rfam family "Bacterial small subunit ribosomal RNA", at positions 329 to 793 of the family's 1533-position model. The record is from RNAcentral.